This is a long non-coding RNA of Lutra lutra (Eurasian river otter), 143 nucleotides long. RefSeq lists it as uncharacterized. The record is from RefSeq and is a predicted model, not a curated record. The transcript is spliced from 3 exons. Lineage: Eukaryota; Metazoa; Chordata; Mammalia; Carnivora; Mustelidae.
AGGCCUUUUUCCAAAAAAGACGUACAGAUAGGCCAACAGACAUAUGGAAAGAUGCUCAAAGUCACUAAUGGUCAGGGAAAUGGAAAUCCAAACCACAAUCAGAUAUCACCUUAUACUUGUUAGAAUGACUAAAAUCAACAACA